This 436-nucleotide ribosomal RNA is filed under the name uncultured bacterium. RNAcentral's name for it is "bacterial SSU rRNA". It matches the Rfam family "Bacterial small subunit ribosomal RNA", at positions 384 to 810 of the family's 1533-position model. The record is from RNAcentral.
UGACGAAGCGACGCCGCGUGCGGGAAGAAGGCCUUCGGGUUGUAAACCGCUGUCGGGAGUUAAGAAAUGUAAGGACGUUAAUAGCGUUCUUGCUUGACUAAGGCUCCGGAGGAAGCCACGGCUAACUCUGUGCCAGCAGCCGCGGUAAUACAGAGGCGGCAAGCGUUGUUCGGAAUUAUUGGGCGUAAAGAGCACGUAGGCGGCCUUGUAAGUCAGUUGUGAAAGCCUUCUGCUUAACGGAAGAACAGCAUCUGAUACUGCAAGGCUUGAGUGCGGGAGGGGAGAGUGGAACUUCUGGUGGAGCGGUGAAAUGCGUAGAUAUCAGAAGGAACGCCGGCGGCGAAAGCGGCUCUCUGGUCCGUAACUGACGCUGAGUGUGCGAAAGCUAGGGGAUCAAACGGGAUUAGAUACCCCGGUAGUCCUAGCCGUAAACGAU